RNAcentral lists this unclassified non-coding RNA (363 nucleotides) under uncultured bacterium. RNAcentral describes it as "contains 16S-23S intergenic spacer region". The record is from RNAcentral.
UCCCCGUUACCGAGGCAGUCUAAAUAGAAAAAUCCAACUAUUCAUAAGGGUUGCGCUCGUUAAUGGACUUAACCAAACAUCUCACGACACGAGCUGACGACGGCCAUGCAACACCUGUCACAUGGUUCCAAAAGGCACACUCUGCUUUCGCAGUGCUUCCAUGGAUGUCAAGUCCUGGUAAGGUUCUUCGCUUAGCGUCGAAUUAAAGAACACGCUCCACCGCUUGUGCGGGUCCCCGUCAAUUCCUUUGAGUUUUAAUCUUGCGACCGUACUCCCCAGGCGGGAUGCUUAACGCGUUAGCUUCGCUACAAGAAGGGUCGAUACUCCUUACAGCUAGCAUCCAUCGUUUACGGCGUGGACUAC